This 247-nucleotide ribosomal RNA is filed under the name uncultured bacterium. Its description in RNAcentral is "partial 16S ribosomal RNA". It matches the Rfam family "Bacterial small subunit ribosomal RNA", at positions 523 to 769 of the family's 1533-position model. The record is from RNAcentral.
AUACGUAGGGGGCAAGCGUUAUCCGGAUUUACUGGGUGUAAAGGGAGCGUAGACGGUUCUGCAAGUCUGGAGUGAAAGCCCGGGGCUCAACCCCGGGACUGCUUUGGAAACUGUGGAACUGGAGUGCAGGAGAGGUAAGUGGAAUUCCUAGUGUAGCGGUGAAAUGCGUAGAUAUUAGGAGGAACACCAGUGGCGAAGGCGGCUUACUGGACUGUAACUGACGCUGAGUCACGAAAGCGUGGGUAGC